GGGGGAAUAUUGGGCAAUGGGCGCAAGCCUGACCCAGCAACGCCGCGUGAAGGAAGAAGGCUUUCGGGUUGUAAACUUCUUUUAAGAGGGAAGAGCAGAAGACUGUACCUCUAGAAUAAGCCACGGCUAACUACGUGCCAGCAGCCGCGGUAAUACGUAGGUGGCAAGCGUUGUCCGGAUUUACUGGGUGUAAAGGGCGUGCAGCCGGGAAUGCAAGUCAGAUGUGAAAUCCAUGGGCUUAACCCAUGAACUGCAUUUGAAACUGUAUUUCUUGAGUACUGGAGAGGCAAAUCGGAAUUCCUAGUGUAGCGGUGAAAUGCGUAGAUAUUAGGAGGAACACCAGUGGCG
RNAcentral lists this ribosomal RNA (348 nucleotides) under uncultured Oscillibacter sp. Its description in RNAcentral is "bacterial SSU rRNA". It matches the Rfam family "Bacterial small subunit ribosomal RNA", at positions 355 to 717 of the family's 1533-position model. The record is from RNAcentral. Lineage: Bacteria; Bacillati; Bacillota; Clostridia; Eubacteriales; Oscillospiraceae.